This 388-nucleotide ribosomal RNA is filed under the name uncultured bacterium. RNAcentral's name for it is "bacterial SSU rRNA". It matches the Rfam family "Bacterial small subunit ribosomal RNA", at positions 30 to 412 of the family's 1533-position model. The record is from RNAcentral.
AUUGAACGCUGGCGGCAUGCCUUACACAUGCAAGUCGAACGGCAGCACGGGAGCAAUCCUGGUGGCGAGUGGCGAACGGGUGAGUAAUAUAUCGGAACGUGCCCAGUCGUGGGGGAUAACCUACUCGAAAGAGUGGCUAAUACCGCAUACGAUCUGAGGAUGAAAGCGGGGGACCUGUAAGGGCCUCGCGCGAUUGGAGCGGCCGAUAGCAGAUUAGGUAGUUGGUGGGGUAAAAGGCCCACCAAGCCUGCGAUCUGUAGCUGGUCUGAGAGGACGACCAGCCACACUGGAACCUGAGACACGGUCCAGACUCCUACGGGAGGCAGCAGUAGGGAAUAUUGGGUCAAAUGGGGGGAAACCCUGAUCCAGCCAUNCCGCGUGAAGUGAA